This is a small nucleolar RNA of Brassica oleracea var. oleracea, 107 nucleotides long. It matches the Rfam family "Plant small nucleolar RNA R71". Rfam says of the family: R71 is a member of the C/D box family of snoRNAs containing the C (UGAUGA) and D (CUGA) box motifs. Multiple nearly identical copies of this snoRNA have been identified in Arabidopsis, and it is thought to function as a 2'-O-ribose methylation guide for 18S ribosomal RNA. The record is from Rfam. Lineage: Eukaryota; Viridiplantae; Streptophyta; Magnoliopsida; Brassicales; Brassicaceae.
AAGCCAUGAUGUGGGCAUUGAGACCAAUAGCUCUUGAACAUCUCCCAUGCUUCACUAAUUCCCUCUAGGUGCUUAUGCUGAAAGCUAGAGAUCUCAUUCCUGAUCUU